This 253-nucleotide ribosomal RNA is filed under the name uncultured prokaryote. RNAcentral describes it as "partial 16S ribosomal RNA". It matches the Rfam family "Bacterial small subunit ribosomal RNA", at positions 525 to 777 of the family's 1533-position model. The record is from RNAcentral.
ACAGAGGGGGCAUGCGUUGCUCGGAAUCACUGGGCGUAAAGGGCGCGUAGGCGGGAUGGCAAGUCAGUCGUGAAAUCUCUCGGCUCAACCGAGAAACGUCGGCUGAUACUGCCGUUCUUGAGGGAUGCAGAGGAGACUGGAAUUCCCGGUGUAGCGGUGAAAUGUGUAGAUAUCUGGAGGAACACCAAUGGCGAAGGCAACUUCCUGGGGCAAUACUGACACUGAUGUGCGAAAGCGUGGGGAGCAAACAGGA